This 427-nucleotide ribosomal RNA is filed under the name uncultured bacterium. RNAcentral describes it as "bacterial SSU rRNA". It matches the Rfam family "Bacterial small subunit ribosomal RNA", at positions 355 to 774 of the family's 1533-position model. The record is from RNAcentral.
UGGGGAAUUUUGGACAAUGGACGCAAGUCUGAUCCAGCCAUGCCGCGUGCGGGAAGAAGGCCUUCGGGUUGUAAACCGCUUUUGUCAGGGAAGAAACGAGUUUCUCUAAUACAGAGACUUAAUGACGGUACCUGAAGAAUAAGCGCCGGCUAACUACGUGCCAGCAGCCGCGGUAAUACGUAGGGUGCGAGCGUUAAUCGGAAUUACUGGGCGUAAAGCGUGCGCAGGCGGUUUGCUAAGACAGAUGUGAAAUCCCCGGGCUCAACCUGGGAACUGCAUUUGUGACUGCAUAGCUGGAGUGCGGCAGAGGGGGAUGGAAUUCCGCGUGUAGCAGUGAAAUGCGUAGAUAUGCGGAGGAACACCGAUGGCGAAGGCAAUCCCCUGGGCCUGCACUGACGCUCAUGCACGAAAGCGUGGGGAGCAAACA